Long non-coding RNA from Triticum aestivum (bread wheat), 2044 nucleotides. RefSeq lists it as uncharacterized. Lineage: Eukaryota; Viridiplantae; Streptophyta; Magnoliopsida; Poales; Poaceae. The record is from RefSeq and is a predicted model, not a curated record. The transcript is spliced from 4 exons.
CCCCCCCCCCCCCCCCCCCGCGCUGCGCGUGUCGUUGUCUUGUCCUUAGCGGGGCGCCGAGGUUCAUGGAUCUCAAGGCCGGGAAUCGAGCCCCAGUUCUGGAUGCGCAAUAGGUGUUUGAGACAUCCAGUACCGCACCAUGAAAGAGCGGGAGAUGCCGAGCUACAUCAGGAUGCCGUUCCCUCUGAUGCCUCUCACGUCUCUCUUUUCUGCCCUUGGUUCGACUCAAUUCGAUUUGGAUGUUGCAUUGUUGUUACUCAUGAAGGUCCGAUUUGCUUUACUUCCUGAUGCGGUCACGCAGGUCGCCAUUAAGGCCUCGAGCUGGCUGCGACCAAGCACGACCUCUAGCUCGCCCUGCACCGCGAUUGCAGUCGCGCGGCUGAUGGCCAUGGGCUGCUCCACGCACGGACGACAAGCACGGCAUCCGCGAUCAAGGUGCUCUUGCCCCUCUUCUCUUCCCGGUGGCUCUAUCCAUCUCCCCCUGUUUGAUUUGGCUGUCGUUCCAGAUCGUUAGUCGCUAAUUGGAGUAACUCUAUUGGUUAGAAUUAUUUAGAUGCAACAUUUCGGAUUUGCAGUGCGUGGUAAUCCUGUUGAAGGUAUGCUCUUGUGUUUCUUCAAGUUCCAACUAUGAUUUUAAAUUGGGGCUAAGCGAGUGAAGAGAUUUAGGUUCGUUAUGUUCUCACCAUUGCUAGGGCUUUCAUGCUAGACGGACAUUUCUGUGCGACAUGGCAAUGUGAGUGUUUUCCUACUUAUGUUUAGUUCCUGAAUCUCAAUAAAAUAAAACUAUAAAAAUCCUGAGCUACCUCUACACUCACAGAGCUUACAAGUUGGCAUAAUUAGGAUGAACACACAUCUUUACCUUAUCAGGGUGACCCCCAACAGGAAGUAGCUUCGCAUCUAAUGAGAAGUGAUACGCGCAACCUUGUUUUAUGCUUGCUCGAACUGAAGAGAUCUCUUGGAAGAUAAAUGUUGUGUUGCACAUGGAACUUAAUAUAGAACAAAGUAAUGAUAGUUAACCACUUAAUUAGCAGUAAAAAACCAGUCUACACUGUACUGAAAUAUAAAGGUUUAACCACUUAAUUAGCAGUAAAAAAUAGUCUACGCUGUACUGAAAUAUAAAGGUGGGAACCUGGAUGGCUGUACCUUUUUCACGAUGAUCAUUUGGCAUACUUCUCUGAAGAGAACAAACUAAGGAACCAAUGGAGCUACCACAUAAAACAGUGAAAGAAAAUAGGAAGAAAAUAAGCUAGGAUGUGAUCCUGACAUGGCCAUCAGACUUUGUGGCGAUGUUGACAGUUUCUUACAACAUAUGUUUGGUUUGUUUCCACUACAAGGCAAAGCAAGGGAAAAGAACAGGUAAAUCUUGUGUGGCUGUGUGAUGCAUUUCUUGUUGGUAUACGACUAUGACGGUAUUACCGAAUAUUAUUUAUCUUUUACCUUUCUGAAUCUUGUAGCACAACAGAAACAUGAUUUUGUGCUAUUGAAUAAUGCCUCUAUUAGUUUUGAUGGAUUUAGUGAUGAUUUGUUGAUUAUGGUAGUGGGGAUUUGGAGAGAAUCAAGAAGUUGCCACAUGAACUGUCAUUUAUCUCUCUAACUUCCAUUUAGUAAAAUUUCUAUUUCUGAUGUUCUACUCUUUCUGAAUUUUUAUGUGGUGCAUUGUGAAGAUCCUUCUCUGCUACAGGAGAACCUGAGAUGCAACAUCAACGUGGUGGUCAUAUAUCAGAAAGGCAAGUUCUUAUGAAAGGAAGGUACCAUACCAAUACCUUGAUUCCCAUUGGGCUGCAAAUCUGCUGCUUUGGUGUUCCUCCAGUCAGUGUGAAUGGCUGUUUGUAGGUCAACAUCUCCGGCGGCAGGCCAACGGGCACCAUCUCGAGCCAUAGAACCUGCAUGAGAGACAAGAAACACAAGGUCCAUUAUGAGUCUGUACUAGGAUUGAAGUAGGAAGCUGCCAGAGGUGUGUAAUUCAUGUACGGUGAGUGCUUUGCUUGGAUCAAUUGUAUGUACCCCCUGAGUUUUUAGAUUCAUAGCAGUUGACUGAUCUUAA